Molecule: long non-coding RNA, 2396 nt
Organism: Mustela lutreola (European mink)
Lineage: Eukaryota; Metazoa; Chordata; Mammalia; Carnivora; Mustelidae
Exons: 3
Source: RefSeq, a predicted model, not a curated record
CUGCACGUCCGCCUUGAAUUCCAUCUCCUGCGGGCGGCACAAGGCGCUCGGUGUCGGCGGGGCGCGCGGGACGGGGCCUUUGGGCCGAGCCCUGCUCCCGCGGGACGCCCGUCCGGCAGCUUCUGGAAAGGCGCGCUGAAGGAGCCCGAAGGAGCAGGGGGCGCGCAGAACGCAGCCACAGCUCCACCCGGUUGUUGGAGCCCGCGCACAGCGAGGAGCCGGUGGACACGCGGAUGUGGUAGAGACCCAUCCUGCCUGACGACGAACGCGCCCUCUGAGGAGGAAGGAGAGUGGAUGCGCUAAUAACGGGCGCGACCCCGCCCCCGGGAGGCCCAGCGGUCAGAGGGUUUUCAGAGAAGUCCUCCCUGGCGGCUCCAGCCCUCCCCGCCUUCCCCUCUGUACUGGGUUUGCCCUGUGCAUGGUCCUGUCGCCCCUCACUGACUAAGAUGGCAAUUCCUGUGUGUCCACGUCCCCUUCCCGCCGAGCUCCCCCGAGGCAAGGGCCACACUCCCAGCAGGACCAACCCAGGUUUGUUCCCCGGGAUUGAGCACCGUAUCAGGCUUGUGGGUGUCAAGAAGUGUUUGCUGAAACCCAUUGAACCCCAAGAUCCAUUAUACAUGAGUCCUGCCCUGGUGGGGGUGGCAGGACAAACUCCCGGACUGCGUGAACAGUAAAGGGAGAGUAAGACUGACUCCCACUCCGCUCCCAGCCGGGCCAGCGGCCAGGGGCCUGCAACCUGCCCCGGUAGAAGGAACCCAGAGAACUGGGUCUGUAAUGUCAGUGCUCUUGUUUGUUUAGUGGGAGUGGAUUUACAGGAGCCAAGGGGCAAAAGGGAGAGAGACUUCAUUCACUGGCGUCUCCCGCUGGGCUAGGCACCAUUGAGUUUCCCCACCUCAGUCACUCGCCCAUAUUUCCAAGGUCCAUUCAAAAGCAAAUACAUGUCUGUCCUUUUGUCCUUUUUCUGGCAGCGUGUGUGACCUGUCAUUCAGCGGCUCGAUUUUGCCACACUGCAUCAUAAAUCAGGAGAUCCUUCUGCAUCAGGACUUGAAAAGCUUCCUUGAUCUUUUUUUUUUUUAAGAUUUAUUUAUUUAUUUGACAGAGAUUGCAAGUAGGCAGAGAGGCAGGGAGAGAGAGGAGGAAGCAGACUCCCUGCUGAGCAGAGAGCCCGAUGUGGGGGCUUGAUCCCAGGACCCUGGGAUCAUGACCCGAGCCGAAGGCAGAAGCUUUAACCCCCUGAGCGAUCCAGGUGCCCCAGCUUCCUUGUUCUUAAGGGUGCCGCCACACUGGGUUGUAAAGGGCAGUCUGCCUGGUUUUGUAGAAGCUGGACAUUUAGUUUGCUUGCGAUCUUGUCUCAGUGUUUAAAAAAAAAAAAAAAAGGUGUUUUUUCUGGACACCUACCUUCAGCUCAGGUCAUGAUCCCAGGGUCAUGGGUUCAAGCCUUGCAUCCCUGCUCCGCGGGGAGUCUGCUUCUCCCUCUCCCCCUCCUUCCACUCAUAGGCAUUCUCUCUCAAAUAAAUAAAUAAAUAAAUAUCUUUUUUUUUUUUUUAAGUGUUUGCUGAAAGAGAUUACCGGGCAUAUACAUCAUUUCUCAAAUGCAGAGAUACAUGGAGUACCAAAUCCCAGAAACGGAAUUUCUGAGUCACAAGCCUGUGUGCAUCUGGCGAAUGUAGAGCUCUGUCCCCCCACCACCAACCCGUGGAACUUGUACCAAUUUACACUCGCAUUGGCGAGCCCACUGGUGUGUGAGAGUGCUCCCUCUGCCGCCCUCUUGCCCACAGCGUGUGGACAAGCACUUUUCCCUGGCCAGCCUGACAGGUGAGGAACCCGACGUUCCUAUCCUAUGGCUGUAACUUCUGUUUCUCUCACUCUCUGUAAGGAUGAGCAUCUCCUGCUGUAGAAGCUGUCCGUAUGUCCUCUGCCGGGCACUAGCUGCUCCACUUUUCUAUUGGAUUUGGGUCUUUUUCUUCUUGAUUUGUAGGAACUAUUUAUAUGUUAAGAAAAUUUGCCCCUUUCCAGCUCUGUCCUGAUGAAAAGGGUCCCAAUAGCAACAAUGGUUGUUCCCUUUACUAUACCAAGUCCUUGGAGCCCAGAUUGUGGUCCACAAUGUUAUUCUCCAUGAAAACCUGAGCUCUAGGGGUGCCUGAGGGGCUCAGGCGGUUGAGCACCUCCCUUCAGCUCGGGUCAUGAUCUCAGGGUCCUGGGAUUGAGCCCCGCAUCGGGCUCCCUGCUCAGCGGGGAAACUGCUUCUCCCUCUGCCUCUCCCUGUGGCUCCCCCUGCUUGUGCGCUCUCUCUCUCUCUCUCUCUCUCUCUCUCCGUUAGCUAAAUAAAUAAGAUCUUUAAAAGAAAAGAAAAUCUGGGCUCUUUAAGGGGUACUUGGAACAGGUAAAACUCAGGA